Long non-coding RNA from Megalops cyprinoides (Indo-Pacific tarpon), 462 nucleotides. RefSeq lists it as uncharacterized. The transcript is spliced from 3 exons. The record is from RefSeq and is a predicted model, not a curated record. NCBI's taxonomy places the organism in Eukaryota, Metazoa, Chordata, Actinopteri, Elopiformes, Megalopidae.
GAGCGGGUCCAAUAUGCCUGGAAUAGAACCAGCAUCUGUUUCUUUAUGUGGAUUAAAAAGCACACAGUUGAUACUGGAAUUACAACCCCAUCGACGUGGAUGAAAUGAUUCACGGCGGCGUCGGCUGGCAGUGCUGGGGCUCACAGGGUGGAGGAGUGCGGACAGCCAGGCCCUGAACGUGAAGAAUCUCACCGCUCUGCUCCAGGGUCCACCGUUUCCAUGCCAACGGGCAGCAGGACACAGGGGAAGAACAGAGCCGUGUGUGAGCUGUACCUCUUGACUGGGUCCGAACACACUCCCAUGCCAGUCAGAACCAGCAGCAGAACCUGCUCAGAGAGGACUGGCACAGGCGGUUCUGCUGCAGGGAGCGAGCCGGAUCCGCACUUUUUCAGAGCAUUUCAGCGGAGGGACAGGACAGGGUGCUCUGCGUUUCUCCUGAAGCAUUUUGAACAUUUCAGGUUU